This 433-nucleotide ribosomal RNA is filed under the name uncultured bacterium. RNAcentral's name for it is "partial 16S ribosomal RNA". It matches the Rfam family "Bacterial small subunit ribosomal RNA", at positions 29 to 507 of the family's 1533-position model. The record is from RNAcentral.
AACGAACGCUGGCGGCAGGCCUAACACAUGCAAGUCGAGCGGACCCUUCGGGGUUAGCGGCGGACGGGUGAGUAACGCGUGGGAAUAUGCCUUUCUCUACGGAAUAGUCCUGGGAAACUGGGGGUAAUACCGUAUACGCCCUUUGGGGGAAAGAUUUAUCGGGGAAGGAUUAGCCCGCGUUGGAUUAGGUAGUUGGUGGGGUAAUGGCCUACCAAGCCGACGAUCCAUAGCUGGUUUGAGAGGAUGAUCAGCCACACUGGGACUGAGACACGGCCCAGACUCCUACGGGAGGCAGCAGUGGGGAAUCUUAGACAAUGGGGGCAACCCUGAUCUAGCCAUGCCGCGUGAGUGAUGAAGGCCUUAGGGUUGUAAAGCUCUUUCAGCUGGGAAGAUAAUGACGGUACCAGCAGAAGAAGCCCCGGCUAACUCCGUG